RNAcentral lists this ribosomal RNA (754 nucleotides) under uncultured bacterium. Its description in RNAcentral is "bacterial SSU rRNA". It matches the Rfam family "Bacterial small subunit ribosomal RNA", at positions 1 to 755 of the family's 1533-position model. The record is from RNAcentral.
UUAGAGUUUGAUCCUGGCUCAGAUUGAACGCUGGCGGAAUGCUUUACACAUGCAAGUCGAACGGGGUCAUGGGGCUUGCUCCAUGACCUAGUGGCGAACGGGUGAGUAAUACAUAGGUACGUGUCCCGUAGUGGGGGAUAACGCACCGAAAGGUGUGCUAAUACCGCAUAUGCUCUGAGGAGGAAAGCGGGGGACCGCAAGGCCUCGCGCUAUGGGAGCGGCCUAUGUCCGAUUAGCUAGUUGGUGAGGUAAAGGCUCACCAAGGCGACGAUCGGUAGCUGGUCUGAGAGGAUGAUCAGCCACACUGGAACUGAGACACGGUCCAGACUCCUACGGGAGGCAGCAGUGGGGAAUUUUGGACAAUGGGGGCAACCCUGAUCCAGCCAUUCCGCGUGAGUGAAGAAGGCCUUCGGGUUGUAAAGCUCUUUCGGCAGGGAAGAAACGGUUGCGGUGAAUAUCCGUGACUAAUGACGGUACCUGACUAAGAAGCACCGGCUAACUACGUGCCAGCAGCCGCGGUAAUACGUAGGGUGCGAGCGUUAAUCGGAAUUACUGGGCGUAAAGCGUGCGCAGGCGGUUUUGUAAGUCAGAUGUGAAAGCCCCGGGCUUAACCUGGGAACUGCGUUUGAAACUGCAAGGCUAGAGUUUGGCAGAGGGGGGUAGAAUUCCACGUGUAGCAGUGAAAUGCGUAGAUAUGUGGAGGAACACCGAUGGCGAAGGCAGCCCCCUGGGUCAAAACUGACGCUCAUGCACG